UAGGGAAUUUUCGGCAAUGGGGGAAACCCUGACCGAGCGACGCCGCGUGAGGGAUGAAGGCCUUCGGGUUGUAAACCUCUGUCUUCGGGGACGAUGAUGACGGUACCCGAGGAGGAAGCCACGGCUAACUACGUGCCAGCAGCCGCGGUAAGACGUAGGUGGCGAGCGUUGUCCGGAAUUAUUGGGCGUAAAGGGCGUGUAGGCGGCCUGUCAAGUCAGACGUGAAAUCCCUGGGCUUAACCUUGGGACUGCGUUUGAUACUGAUGGGCUUGAGGACAGGAGAGGAAGUGGAACUCCGUGUGUAGCGGUGAAAUGCUCAGAUAUACGGAAGAACACCAGUGGCGAAGGCGACUUUCUGGACUGUCCCUGACGCUGGGGCGCGAAAGCCAGGGGAGCGAACGG
This 402-nucleotide ribosomal RNA is filed under the name uncultured bacterium. RNAcentral's name for it is "bacterial SSU rRNA". It matches the Rfam family "Bacterial small subunit ribosomal RNA", at positions 355 to 775 of the family's 1533-position model. The record is from RNAcentral.